RNAcentral lists this ribosomal RNA (301 nucleotides) under uncultured bacterium. RNAcentral describes it as "partial 16S ribosomal RNA". It matches the Rfam family "Bacterial small subunit ribosomal RNA", at positions 509 to 807 of the family's 1533-position model. The record is from RNAcentral.
CAGUAGCCGCGGUAAUACGAAGGGGGCUAGCGUUGUUCGGAAUUACUGGGCGUAAAGGGCGCGUAGGCGGCUUGUACAGUCAGAUGUGAAAUUCCUGGGCUCAACCUGGGGACUGCAUUUGAUACGUACGGGCUUGAGUGGAGAAGAGGGUUGUGGAAUUUCCAGUGUAGAGGUGAAAUUCGUAGAUAUUGGAAAGAACACCGGUGGCGAAGGCGGCAACCUGGUCUUUAACUGACGCUGAGGCGCGAAAGCGUGGGGAGCAAACAGGAUUAGAUACCCGCGUAGUCCCUGUCUCUUAUAC